GUGAAUCAUCGAAUCUUUGAACGCAAAUUGCACUCUCCUUGGUCAGUAUGCCUGUUUGAGGGGCUGCCUAUAACAAUCGACAGCGUUGCUGUUUCUCUGUGGUGUUCGUUGGAAAUUUGGUCAUCUUAAAGCCAUUUGAUUUAAGCGACUUAAUAUUUUCUUUUGUUUCCAUUACCGUUUCUAAGAUCAUUUUCUUUACACGUUUAAGGUAUCGAAUUUUGCUAGACUUGACCAU
RNAcentral lists this unclassified non-coding RNA (235 nucleotides) under Glomus sp. RNAcentral describes it as "partial internal transcribed spacer 2". The record is from RNAcentral. Lineage: Eukaryota; Fungi; Glomeromycota; Glomeromycetes; Glomerales; Glomeraceae.